UACGAAGGGGGCUAGCGUUGCUCGGAAUCACUGGGCGUAAAGCGCACGUAGGCGGCUUUUUAAGUCAGGGGUGAAAUCCUGGAGCUCAACUCCAGAACUGCCUUUGAUACUGAGAAGCUUGAGUCCGGGAGAGGUGAGUGGAACUGCGAGUGUAGAGGUGAAAUUCGUAGAUAUUGGGAAGAACACCGGUGGCGAAGGCGAAUCUCUGGACAGUUACUGACACUGAGGCACGAAGGCCAGGGGAGCAAACGGG
RNAcentral lists this ribosomal RNA (253 nucleotides) under uncultured bacterium. RNAcentral describes it as "partial 16S ribosomal RNA". It matches the Rfam family "Bacterial small subunit ribosomal RNA", at positions 524 to 776 of the family's 1533-position model. The record is from RNAcentral.